GGGGGCUUAGCUCAGUGGUAGUAGCAUUAGAUUCCAAAUCUAGGGGUCGCAGGUUCAAUCCCUGCAGUCCUCA
This is a transfer RNA of Bodo saltans, 73 nucleotides long. It matches the Rfam family "tRNA". Rfam says of the family: Transfer RNA (tRNA) molecules are approximately 80 nucleotides in length. Their secondary structure includes four short double-helical elements and three loops (D, anti-codon, and T loops). The record is from Rfam. Lineage: Eukaryota; Euglenozoa; Kinetoplastea; Eubodonida; Bodonidae.